This 334-nucleotide unclassified non-coding RNA is filed under the name soil metagenome. RNAcentral's name for it is "partial contains 5.8S ribosomal RNA, internal transcribed spacer 2, and large subunit ribosomal RNA". The stretch from base 1 to 120 matches the Rfam family "5.8S ribosomal RNA", at positions 35 to 154 of the family's 154-position model. The record is from RNAcentral.
GAUGAAGAACGUAGCGAAAUGCGAUAAGUAAUGUGAAUUGCAGAAUUCAGUGAAUCAUCGAAUCUUUGAACGCACAUUGCGCCCGCCAGUACUCUGGCGGGCAUGCCUGUUCGAGCGUCAUUUCAACCAUCAAGCCCCGGGCUUGUGUUGGGGACCUGCGGCUGCCGCAGGCCCUGAAAUGCAGUGGCGGGCUCGCUGUCACUCCGAGCGUAGUAGUUACAUCUCGCUCUGGGCGUGCUGCGGGUUCCGGCCGUUAAAAGCCUUAUUUACCCAAGGUUGACCUCGGAUCAGGUAGGAAGACCCGCUGAACUUAAGCAUAUCAAUAAGCGGAGGA